GGCUUUCUAACAACAAACAUGGAGUACAGUAAUCUGGUUGUGUGGAUAUUGAAACUUGAGGGUGGCGCAGAAAAGCGAUAUUCUACCUAUAUAUUGUUUCCGGGCAUGCCACGUAUUCAAUUUGAUCUUGGCGCCACAUAACAGAAUUUAGCUUGAGCUUGCAUACAACAAGUAGAAUGGCUCUGAAACUUGUAAAUCUAGGGUUUCACUCAUCGAUCCCGUGUUCUCCGAGGCCCUUGAAAGAUCGGUUCGUGGUUCGGUGCUCUAAAGUGGAACAAAUAUCGUUUACUGAAUCUGAAAACUCACUCAUCGAAGCCCUUCUUGGCAUUCAAGGACGCGGACGUUCUUCUUCUCCUCAGCAGCUCAACGCUUUCAGGCGUGCUGUUCAAGUCCUGGAACGUUUAGGGGGUGUACCUGAUCCGACAAACUCAAAUUUGAUCGAGGGUCGCUGGCAGCUAAUUUUCACCACAAGACCUGGAACUGCAUCGCCCAUUCAAACCUUUGUCGGGGUUGUUUUUUUAGUGUAUUUCAAGAGAUUUAUCUUCGAACAAAUGAUCCACGCGUAUGCAAUAUUGUGUCAUUUUCUGAUGCUAUUGGUGAGCUCAAAGUGGAGGCAGCAGCAUCAAUUGAAGAUGGAAAAAGAAUCCUUUUUAGGUUUGACAGAGCUGCUUUUUCUUUUAAAUUUCUUCCAUUUAAAGUUCCGUAUCCAGUUCCAUUUAGGCUACUGGGAGAUGAAGCAAAGGGUUGGUUAGACACCACAUAUUUGUCGAGUUCAGGAAACCUUCAUAUCUCAAAAGGAAAUAAGGGAACCACAUUUGUGUUACAGAAGCAAACUGAACCUAGGCAAAGGUUAUUGACAGCUAUUUCCUCAGGGAAGGGUAUUAAAGAGGCAAUAGAUGAACUUAUUUCCUUAAAGCAGAAUAUUGGCCAAGAACCAGAACUAGAAGACGGUGAGUGGCAGAUGAUGUGGAAUUCACAGACUGUGACGGAUAGUUGGAUAGAGAAUGCUGUCAAUGGGCUGAUGGGCAAGCAGAUUAUCAGGAAGAAUGGAGGAAUAAAGUUUCUGGUUGAUAUCUUGCUUGGGCUUAAGUUCUCCAUGAGUGGAAAUUUUGUAAAAACUGGCUCCGGAGUGUAUGACGUUACAAUGGAUGAUGCAGCCAUAAUUGGUGGUCCAUUCGGAUAUCCCCUAGAACUGAAAAACAACUUCAUAUUGGAGCUUCUAUACAGUGACGAGAAGCUCAGAGUUAGCCGGGGAAUCAAUAAUGUUAUUUUCGUACAUGUUCGUACAGAUGCAUUGAGGUGACCUAAUAUAUAUGUGAUUGUUUAGAAAGAAUAGAAGAAAUCGUUGCGGGUGAAAAUUUGUGAUCAAUUGUGUACAUGGAUGUACUACUUGUUCAGCUUCCAGUUCAAGUUGGUUUAUUCAAUCUUCCAUAGUCUUUCAAUCUGAGAGAACUGUUCAUAAAAAAUGAUGUUUCAAAGAAUUAUAUUCUGCAUUUCGAGGAAUUAUAAUACAAAAACUAUACUAAACUUUUUACCUAUUAUAAUUAUAAUUUAUGAUUGAUUAUUAA
RNA transcript from Glycine soja, 1568 nucleotides. It is a transcript of the gene named probable plastid-lipid-associated protein 12, chloroplastic, with no coding region annotated. The record is from RefSeq and is a predicted model, not a curated record. Lineage: Eukaryota; Viridiplantae; Streptophyta; Magnoliopsida; Fabales; Fabaceae. The transcript is spliced from 11 exons.